This 465-nucleotide ribosomal RNA is filed under the name Vreelandella stevensii. RNAcentral describes it as "partial 16S ribosomal RNA". It matches the Rfam family "Bacterial small subunit ribosomal RNA", at positions 338 to 795 of the family's 1533-position model. Lineage: Bacteria; Pseudomonadati; Pseudomonadota; Gammaproteobacteria; Oceanospirillales; Halomonadaceae. The record is from RNAcentral.
CCUACGGGAGGCAGCAGUGGGGAACAUUGGACAAUGGGGGCAACCCUGAUCCAGCCAUGCCGCGUGUGUGAAGAAGGCCCUCGGGUUGUAAAGCACUUUCAGUGAGGAAGAACGCCUGGUGGUUAAUACCCAUCAGGAAAGACAUCACUCACAGAAGAAGCACCGGCUAACUCCGUGCCAGCAGCCGCGGUAAUACGGAGGGUGCGAGCGUUAAUCGGAAUUACUGGGCGUAAAGCGCGCGUAGGUGGCUUGAUAAGCCGGUUGUGAAAGCCCCGGGCUCAACCUGGGAACGGCAUCCGGAACUGUCAAGCUAGAGUGCAGGAGAGGAAGGUAGAAUUCCCGGUGUAGCGGUGAAAUGCGUAGAGAUCGGGAGGAAUACCAGUGGCGAAGGCGGCCUUCUGGACUGACACUGACACUGAGGUGCGAAAGCGUGGGUAGCAAACAGGAUUAGAUACCCUUGUAGUC